GAAGUACUCCCUCUGUUCGGAAUUACUUGUCACAAAAAUGGAUGUAUCUACAAUUAAAAUAAAUGUAGAUACAUUCAAUUUUUUGGACGAGUAAUUUCAAACGGAGGGAGUAUCUU
Molecule: non-coding RNA, 116 nt
Organism: Triticum aestivum (bread wheat)
Lineage: Eukaryota; Viridiplantae; Streptophyta; Magnoliopsida; Poales; Poaceae
Source: Rfam